GAUGAACGCUGGCGGCGUGCCUAAUACAUGCAAGUCGAGCGAACGGACGAGAAGCUUGCUUCUCUGAUGUUAGCGGCGGACGGGUGAGUAACACGUGGAUAACCUACCUAUAAGACUGGGAUAACUUCGGGAAGCCGGAGCUAAUACCGGAUAAUAUUUUGAACCGCAUGGUUCAAAAGUGAAAGACGGUCUUGCUGUCACUUAUAGAUGGAUCCGCGCUGCAUUAGCUAGUUGGUAAGGUAACGGCUUACCAAGGCAACGAUGCAUAGCCGACCUGAGAGGGUGAUCGGCCACACUGGAACUGAGACACGGUCCAGACUCCUACGGGAGGCAGCAGUAGGGAAUCUUCCGCAAUGGGCGAAAGCCUGACGGAGCAACGCCGCGUGAGUGAUGAAGGUCUUCGGAUCGUAAAACUCUGUUAUUAGGGAAGAACAUAUGUGUAAGUAACUGUGCACAUCUUGACGGUACCUAAUCAGAAAGCCACGGCUAACUACGUG
This 497-nucleotide ribosomal RNA is filed under the name uncultured bacterium. Its description in RNAcentral is "partial 16S ribosomal RNA". It matches the Rfam family "Bacterial small subunit ribosomal RNA", at positions 28 to 507 of the family's 1533-position model. The record is from RNAcentral.